Long non-coding RNA from Ruditapes philippinarum (Manila clam), 1497 nucleotides. RefSeq lists it as uncharacterized. The transcript is spliced from 3 exons. The record is from RefSeq and is a predicted model, not a curated record. Lineage: Eukaryota; Metazoa; Mollusca; Bivalvia; Venerida; Veneridae.
CUGUAAAUGAGGAGAACACCGGACGCGUUCACACUUGUUCAAUUUUGGAACAUUGCGCGUUUAUAUUUUGAAUGCCUGUGUUCAGAAAAGGAGUUCUAUUUACGAGUUGAACACUUAUCAUUUGAACGUCAGUGUUCAAUGGUAGUCCUUCUGACUAGACAACAUGAAAGAAUUUGAGUUUUUGACAACUUGGGUAAGUUUUUUGGUCAAUAUAUUGUCAGUUGGGGUUACAUUUACGCAAUUUAACAAGUAAUGGUGCUUAAAUAAUUAAAACAUUUUAAAGUGGAACAUGAUAUGAACAGUAGCGUUCAUCGAAUGUUCUAAUUGAGAACGUUUCUAAAAAUAGAUUUGUGACAAUUUCUGACGUCAUUCAAGUACCACAACAACAACAACAACAAGUAAGCGUUGGCGAAACGCAAGCUGAACACUUUACACUAACAAUGACUAAAAUUGAAGUGAAAACGGAUAGCGAGUAAGUAGUGUUGUUUCAAGCAGUGAUGAAAGAUUUGAACUAUAUAGACUGUAGAUCUACAGAAACUGUUCCAGACUUGCAUACAGAUCUUUGAGGAUAGUGAAGAAUAUGAUUGUCCUGCUAAAUUGGAGACAAAUGAAAACACCCCGCACAAACUGAUGACAUACACUACAGAGGGGAGCAACUGUCCUUUGGUGUUUCGACAUAGACUAUUGAUUAUUGUUUAGAUACUCUCGCAGCAGUUUGUAUUUGCGAAGAAAUUUAAGAAAUUAUUCUUAAUUCAUGUGUUAUGUUAAGAAAACUGCAUUCAUGCACACAAGAAUAUAACACAUAAAAAUACAACAUGUAAUAACAAUAAGUGAAACAAUGCUAGGAUAUUGAGAGACAGGUUAUGUUGCUGUGUGAUUACUCGUAUUUUUGUGGUCUGAAAUGAAACGCAAAAUUCAUGUACAAACAAAUAACUGAAAGAACUUUGUAAAACAGUAUUCAAUUUUUUACAUUUUGAUCAUAAUUGUUAAUCUUAAAAUCUCUUCAUUUGCUUAUCAGGCAUAGAGUUAGAAAAUAAUAAGAAAUUUUGGAUAACAUUAUUCAUUUUGUUAUUGUGAAUAACUAAAGAAUAAUUAAAAAAUCUCAAUAUGAUUCUUUGUUUUAUGACUUAUAUCUGUUGUUUUAUCAGGUGUUCAAAUGUUAACAUAAGUGUUCAUCAGUGUUCUAACUUUUAACAUACCUAAUUUUGAACAUGUUCUAUGCGUUCAAUAUCUGUUGCAUCGUAAUUGAACGCGUCUGGCAUUUAAAAGUAGAACACCUGAGUGUUCAUAACAUGUUCUAUAAUGGAAUGGUUUGGUGUUAAGAUUUUAACGUCAACGUUAAAAUUUGAACCCUAGAUGUUCAUAAGGCGUUAGUAUAUGAACGGUUGGAGACAAAAGUUGAACACUAGUAUUAAGAAAUGGAACGCGUCUUGGCGUUCAAUAUCUGUUGCAAAUAGGCGUUCAAGAUGUGUUCUAUUCUUGAACAUUUACAUUUAC